UACGGAGGGGGCUAGCGUUGUUCGGAAUUACUGGGCGUAAAGGGCGCGCAGGCGGCUGCUCAAGUCAGGCGUGAAAGGCCUGGGCUCAACCCGGGAAUUGCGCUUGAGACUGGGCUGGCUUGAGUGCGGGAGAGGAUAGUGGAAUUCCCAGUGUAGAGGUGAAAUUCGUAGAUAUUGGGAAGAACACCGGUGGCGAAGGCGGCCAUCUGGACCGCAACUGACGCUGAGGCGCGAAAGCGUGGGGAGCAAACAGG
This 254-nucleotide ribosomal RNA is filed under the name uncultured bacterium. RNAcentral describes it as "partial 16S ribosomal RNA". It matches the Rfam family "Bacterial small subunit ribosomal RNA", at positions 524 to 776 of the family's 1533-position model. The record is from RNAcentral.